RNAcentral lists this long non-coding RNA (4375 nucleotides) under Homarus americanus (American lobster). Its description in RNAcentral is "uncharacterized LOC121866461, transcript variant X1". Lineage: Eukaryota; Metazoa; Arthropoda; Malacostraca; Decapoda; Nephropidae. The record is from RNAcentral.
UAACCUCUGAUAUGGACUGCAGAUUGCCCAGAAGCUGGCAGCAAGGUAUUCGGGGCUGAAGGACUCAAAGGUGCUGUCCCUAACCACCAGUGACUCCCGGAAGGUGAGUCACUUCCACAAGAACCUAAAGCAGUCCCCUGGCAAGAAGCUGCUGGAGCUGCAGACAAUUUCACUGAGCUCUCUGUCACUCAACUUUGUCCAAAUGCUUCAAGAUAUUGGCCAGGAAGCAAACUUUGUCGUCACUUUUGUUGAUAUUGAAGAAUUAUCAGUUACCGGUCAGCACCAGUGUCUAGUUCAGUUAUCAACACUGCCAGUGGCAGUUUGUUAUGGUACUGGUACAACUGUUAAGGAAGCCCAAUCUGCUGCUGCUCACAAUGCCCUGGAGUACCUGAAGAUCAUGACCAAUAAAUAGUAUGUUUGAAAUAUGGACUGUGGAGAAAGGAACUGAGGAAGAGUGAGGAAGGAUUUUUUUUAUUUAUUUAUUUAUUUUUUUUAUAAAUCAAGAUAGACACACCUAGUGUUGGGUGUACCCUCACUGUUACAUUUAUAUGCUUGUAAAAGCAAAAAAAAAAAAAAAUGCAACAGUUGUGUUGCAUACCAAAAAAAUGAAAAAAUCAUUCUCUAAGAAUGAUAAAAAGUUACUCUUCUCAUGAGUUGUAACAAAAAAAAUUAGGAACUUGGACCAGAAUCGAGCAAGAUUUCUGUGGUACCUGUGGUCAACAUGCAGGAAUGGAGUAGUGGCAGAGGAUUUUUUAUUCACCCAGACAGAGCACUAGAUGCUUUGUCAUGACUGAUAACUAUGAAAGCAGUAGAAGGAUGAAAUACAGAUAUUUUGUCUGAAGCUUUCAGGUAGUCCAGUUCUAUGUUUAAAGUUAAAAACUAUAGACUGUAAAGAAAAUAUAUGAAGAAAUGCUGGCUAUUAUGAGCUAUGCUUUAAAGCAGCACUUUAAAGAUAGCUUUUAUGCAUUCUAUUUACUGUAAUCCAUUUUUACUGUACCUCUGCCUAAGAUUACAAAUACCAUUUUGACCCCACAGUUAUCCUGGUCUGAGUUUGCUCUCGUUGUGUGCAUCUGCUAUACUUUGCAUAGAACUAGUGAAGUGUUAUGGUAGAGCACACGCUGGCUGACUUGGCCUCCAUUUUGCAGAACAAAUGAAUGGUGUAAAGGUAGUCAAAAUAGUACCUGACAUUCUUACUUCUAGUACAAUUAUUGUAGGCUGUUUGUCGUUUCUAAAAAUUAGGUUUGAGUAUCGACUGACACCGCACCAUCAAUGCAAAAAUGGAGUAAAAGUGAACCAGUGCGUGGCCUCCUUACCUUGAAUGUACCGUAGUCUUGGCCAGGUGUAGGUGUCAGUACUGGAGUACGUUGCCAGGGUGGAUAGAAGUGGCAACAUUAUGUACCACCUGUUCACAACUUGGUAACCCAUCAUUACAUUAAGGUGUACAAUAUUCGUAGUUGGAUAGAAAUUUACUCUUUUUAAUUCCUGGAACACACAAGUAUGCUUUCAGUUUCAGCUUAGUUGUGCAGUUCCAUAAUUUUGUGCAUUGUAAAAAUCCCUCCAACCCUUGCAAAUUACUCCAUGCUGCAACUUAAUAAUGCUUUAUCCAAUAAGCUGUUACGUACAUUAAUUCUCUUAUCUAAUGGGCAUUCAUUAAUUAAAUGCAAAGUAUAGAUAUUGGAUGAUAGAUGGUUGUUAGAGACGGGCCACUCUGGGCAUUUGAAUUUAAUCAGCUGAAUAGUUUGUGUGUUUCCUGAAUCAGUUUUUGUAUGACUGGAAAUUCAAGUGACCAAAUUGAAACACACUGAAGCUCAAAUUCACUGAAGCUUGUCACAUGUUAUUACUGAUUUUACAGACGACUUGAAAGAACUAUUGUAAGUUUCCUCUUUGUGUUAGGAAGAAUGGUCUAUCACACUUACUGUUAGAAUUAGUUGAUGGAUUCUGUUCAUCUUCACAGUAAUUGAGGGCAAGUGUCGUCUUCCGGUGACAAGCAAAGAAAUGCCCAAAGGGUGGCUGAGGCCCACACAGUAGAUGGUGUCAUUCAGUUUGGUGGCACUUUUAUGUUCCACUUGCUGUCAUUGACAAAGGUGUGGUCCUAGGAGUGAAGCCCAUCAUUUGUAUUAAACAGCACAACUAGAGAUGAACUAAAGCACUCUUACUUCAUGCAAAGUUACCCAACAAGACAGACCUUAAAUUAAAUGCACUUUAAACUUUACAAUGUCUUGUUGCUGUAGGUAUCUGUACAUGGUGAGGUAGUGUUUGGUGUCAUCAGAAUGUGCUCUUUUUAUUAUUUUUUUUAUUUAUUUUUUAUUUAUUUAUUUAUUUUUUUGUUUAACUACUACACUUCAGCCCAUGUGAUCUCCACCAGAGGGAAAACCUAAAACCUCAGCAGAAUAGUUUAAACUAAGGUACUUGUAGCAUUAGUACUCAAACAUUUUUUUAAACCAAGAUUCAUUUUGGAAUUUUAUAAACAAUUGAAUCAGUUGCCCAAAUUAUGCUCCAAGAAGUCUAAUUCACUAACUAGUGGUAUAUACAUAAACAUACUUUGCACAUUGAAGCUGUAAAUGUCAAAAUAAAAUUGUUGUUUAGGGAGAGGAACCCAUCUCUUAUUCCAAGAAGCUGUAAUAUUUGGUUGAAAUUUAUCUCCCUAAAACCUCUCAUGAGUGUAUUGCCUGUGAGAUCUGUUUCAUGUUCACCCCCUCUUAUCAUGAAAAAAAAAAAAUUAAAUUAGUUAUAUACUAUAUAUAUAUAUAUAUAUAUAUAUAUAUAUAUAUAUAUAUAUAUAUAUAUAUAUAUAUAUAUAUAUAUAUAUAUAUAUAUAUAUAUAUAUAUAUAUAUAUAUAUAUAUAUAUAUACAUAUAUAUAUAUAUAUAUCACUUAGGACCUUUGUUGUUAUGUGGGUGUUGCUUCAAAGUAGAUCUGUUUAUUUGAGAUAUUAUGUUGUAUAAUAUAUUAGUCUUACCAGUUAGUGAGGGAGCUAAUACAGUGCAGCUAAUACAGUGCAGCCAUAAGUCUUUCUUGAUGCAGGAAAGUGUGACACUCUUAUGCUUGAUUUAGCAUCGGAUAUACAUUCACACUGAUUUUUCUGAAAUCAGUUGACCUGAAACAAAUUAAUUUAUCUCAGAAGUGGAAAUUUUUAAGUGGUCCUGUGCAUUCUUACCAGUUUUAUUGUUUAACCUUUUGUCGAGGUGCAUUUUAGUGCCAGUAGACAUGGGUUGACUAAUUUAGCAAGUGAAAGCAUUGACAAAUACUGAUAUAAAGACUUUUGUGAAAAUAUGAAUAAUGUUUUGGUCAGGUUAUAGACAUUUAUCAAUUGAUACUGAUUGUAUUUGGACUGAAACAUUUUUGGAUUUUCUGAACAUGUUUCUAGGCAUUUAGUGUAAGUUUAACUAUCAAGCAUCUACCCGGUACAUGUUAUUGUGGUUGUUUCUUACCUUGCAAAACAUAGCUCCUUUGUGUAUAAGUCAUUUGUGUAUUACUGAAAAUUAUUGAUAGAAACCUACAUUUAAGGCCACUAAGAUAUAAUUUUAUUUGUUGUUUUCUUUUUAAGUCAGUAUAUGUUAUUAGAGGAUAAUGUGAUGUGGAACAGGCUUGUUGUAGCUAAACUGAUGGAGAACACAUGAGGCUAUUAAUUUUUGUCUUGUGUGUGUAUCACUCCAAACAGGUGGUGAAUUAUCACAGUUUUGCUGAUAGUAACAUGCGUUUGGGUGUUACAUGUGGACAACGGAUUAACUGGCACUUUUAUUCCAGUUUGAGCAGAUUGUCCAACUCAAAUAAUUUUUGUUCAUAAUGAUCAUGGAAUUUGAUAAUUCUCCAGUGUUGGGGUGUACAUGUUUCAUUUCAGUAUGUUGCCAUUUGUGAUACAACAGUCUAUGUGCAUCCUUCACACAGGUGAAUUCUCUUAUAUUAAAGUCCUUUUAUCAUUUGUGCAAGUACAAUUUGAGGAAUGAUGAAUAUCUCAGUAGGUUACCAACUAAAUUUGAAAGUGUAAAAAGAGGGCUUCUACGCUUUCUUAGAGUUGUCUUGUAAUUUUUGAGGGAAAAAAAUCAUGGGCAUACCUAAGGUAGAAGAUGGAGGGAACAUAGAUGCAGGAACUGAAAAAGAUGGAGAAUUUAUUAAGCAAAAUAAUUGAAUUGUGUUUAAAAGUUAGAUAGGCUUAAAUUUGAAUAAAAAAUUAGUGAACCCACCACCCUUGGGUAUGUCUGUGGUUUAUACAAUGUAUAAAAAAUACAAUAAUUAGUCCAAAUAAUUGGUUGGGCACAUAGAAAAGUGUAACAUAAUACUUUCAAUCAAUUUUCCCUCUAGUUCUUAAGUUGGACUGUAUCUCUGUGUCCAUCCAAUAACCUCUAUUUAUGUUCAAAGUAAAAAUUUAAAAUUG